RNAcentral lists this ribosomal RNA (156 nucleotides) under Begonia formosana. RNAcentral's name for it is "5.8S ribosomal RNA". It matches the Rfam family "5.8S ribosomal RNA". Rfam says of the family: 5.8S ribosomal RNA (5.8S rRNA) is a component of the large subunit of the eukaryotic ribosome. It is transcribed by RNA polymerase I as part of the 45S precursor that also contains 18S and 28S rRNA. Functionally, it is thought that 5.8S rRNA may be involved in ribosome translocation. Lineage: Eukaryota; Viridiplantae; Streptophyta; Magnoliopsida; Cucurbitales; Begoniaceae. The record is from RNAcentral.
CUCGACAACAGAUAUCUUGGCUCUCGCAUCGAUGAAGAACGUAGUGAAAUGCGAUAUUGGGUAUGAAUUGCAGAACCCUGUGAACCAUCGAGUUUUUGAACGCAAGUUGCGCACCGAACCCUUCUAACCGAGGGGCACGUUUUCCUGGGCAUCACG